AGAGUUUGAUCAUGGCUCAGGAUGAACGCUAGCUACAGGCUUAACACAUGCAAGUCGAGGGGAAACGACAUCGAAAGCUUGCUUUUGAUGGGCGUCGACCGGCGCACGGGUGAGUAACGCGUAUCCAACCUGCCCAUCACUUGGGGAUAACCUUGCGAAAGUAAGACUAAUACCCAAUGACGUCUCUAGAAGACAUCUGAAAGAGAUUAAAGAUUUAUCGGUGAUGGGAUGGGGAUGCGUCUGAUUAGCUUGUUGGCGGGGUAACGGCCACCAAGGCGACGGAUCAGUAGGGGUUCUGAGAGGAGGUCCCCCCANAUUGGAACUGAGACACGGUCCAAACUCCUACGGGAGGCA
This 354-nucleotide ribosomal RNA is filed under the name uncultured bacterium. Its description in RNAcentral is "bacterial SSU rRNA". It matches the Rfam family "Bacterial small subunit ribosomal RNA", at positions 8 to 350 of the family's 1533-position model. The record is from RNAcentral.